GCCCUAGUAACGGCGAGUGAAGCGGCAAGAGCUCAAAUUUGAAAUCUGGCUCCUUUGGAGUCCGAGUUGUAAUUUGUAGAGGGUGCUUUGGUGUCGGCUAUGGCCUAAGUUCCUUGGAACAGGACGUCACAGAGGGUGAGAACCCCGUAUGUGGCUGCUAGCCUUCACCAUGUAAAGCCCCUUCGACGAGUCGAGUUGUUUGGGAAUGCAGCUCUAAAUGGGAGGUAAAUUUCUUCUAAAGCUAAAUAUUGGCCAGAGACCGAUAGCGCACAAGUAGAGUGAUCGAAAGAUGAAAAGCACUUUGGAAAGAGAGUCAAAAAGCACGUGAAAUUGUUGAAAGGGAAGCGCUUGCAGCCAGACUUGCUCGUAGUUGCUCAUCCGAGCUUUUGCUCGGUGCACUCUUCUGCGAGCAGGCCAGCAUCAGUCCGGGCGGUUGGAUAAAGGCUCUGGGAAUGUAGCUCUCUUCGGGGAGUGUUAUAGCCCAGGGUGUCAUGCAACCAGUCUGGACUGAGGUCCGCGCAUCUGCUAGGAUGCUGGCGUAAUGGCUGUAAGCGGCCCGUCUUGAAACACGGACCAAGGAGUCUAACAUCUAUGCGAGUGUUUGGGUGUCAAGCCCGGGCGCGCAAUGAAAGUGAACGGAGGUGGGAACCCUUCGGGGCGCACCAUCGACCGAUCCUGAUGUCUUCGGAUGGAUUUGAGUAAGAGCAUAGCUGUUGGGACCCGAAAGAUGGUGAACUAUGCCUGAAUAGGGUGAAGCCAGAGGAAACUCUGGUGGAGGCUCGCAGCGGUUCUGACGUGCAAAUCGAU
RNAcentral lists this ribosomal RNA (807 nucleotides) under Hermatomyces saikhuensis. RNAcentral describes it as "eukaryotic LSU rRNA". It matches the Rfam family "Eukaryotic large subunit ribosomal RNA", at positions 77 to 902 of the family's 3401-position model. The record is from RNAcentral. Lineage: Eukaryota; Fungi; Ascomycota; Dothideomycetes; Pleosporales; Hermatomycetaceae.